Molecule: ribosomal RNA, 397 nt
Filed under: uncultured bacterium
Lineage: Bacteria
Description: partial 16S ribosomal RNA
Rfam family: Bacterial small subunit ribosomal RNA
Source: RNAcentral
AUACGUAGGUGGCAAGCGUUGUCCGGAAUUAUUGGGCGUAAAGCGCGCGCAGGCGGUCCUUUAAGUCUGAUGUGAAAGCCCACGGCUCAACCGUGGAGGGUCAUUGGAAACUGGGGGACUUGAGUGCAGAAGAGGAAAGUGGAAUUCCGAGUGUAGCGGUGAAAUGCGUAGAGAUUUGGAGGAACACCAGUGGCGAAGGCGACUUUCUGGUCUGUAACUGACGCUGAGGCGCGAAAGCGUGGGGAGCAAACAGGAUUAGAUACCCUGGUAGUCCACGCCGUAAACGAUGAGUGCUAAGUGUUAGGGGGUUUCCGCCCCUUAGUGCUGCAGCUAACGCAUUAAGCACUCCGCCUGGGGAGUACGGUCGCAAGACUGAAACUCAAAUGAAUUGACGGGG